This 438-nucleotide ribosomal RNA is filed under the name uncultured bacterium. RNAcentral's name for it is "partial 16S ribosomal RNA". It matches the Rfam family "Bacterial small subunit ribosomal RNA", at positions 338 to 794 of the family's 1533-position model. The record is from RNAcentral.
CCUACGGGUGGCAGCAGUAGGGAAUAUUGCUCAAUGGGGGAAACCCUGACGCAGCAACGCCGCGUGGAGGAUGAAGGUUUUCGGAUUGUAAACUCCUUUUGUUAGAGAAGAUAAUGACGGUAUCUAACGAAUAAGCACCUGCUAACUCCGUGCCAGCAGCCGCGGUAAUACGGGGGAUGCGAGCGUUAUCCGGAGUUAUUGGGUGUAAAUGGUGAGCAGGCGGAAGAGCAAGUCAGGGGUAAAAUUGAGAGGCUCAACCUCUUCGAGCCGUUGAAACUGGUUUUCGUGAGUGAGCGAGAAGUAUGCGGAAUGCGUGGUGUAGCGGUGAAAUGCAUAGAUAUCACGCAGAACUCCGAUUGCGAAGGCAGCAUACCGGCGCUCAACUGACGCUCAUGCACGAAAGUGUGGGUAUCGAACAGGAUUAGAUACCCGGGUAGU